RNAcentral lists this ribosomal RNA (254 nucleotides) under uncultured bacterium. Its description in RNAcentral is "partial 16S ribosomal RNA". It matches the Rfam family "Bacterial small subunit ribosomal RNA", at positions 524 to 776 of the family's 1533-position model. The record is from RNAcentral.
UACGGGGGGAGCAAGCGUUGUUCGGAUUUACUGGGCGUAAAGGGCGCGUAGGCGGCCACCGCAAGUCGACUGUGAAAUCUCCGAGCUUAACUCGGAAAGGUCAACUGAUACUGUGCGGCUAGAGUGCGGAAGGGGCAACUGGAAUUCUUGGUGUAGCGGUGAAAUGCGUAGAUAUCAAGAGGAACACCUGCGGCGAAGGCGGGUUGCUGGGCCGACACUGACGCUGAGGCGCGAAAGCCAGGGGAGCGAACGGG